This 460-nucleotide ribosomal RNA is filed under the name uncultured bacterium. RNAcentral describes it as "partial 16S ribosomal RNA". It matches the Rfam family "Bacterial small subunit ribosomal RNA", at positions 338 to 795 of the family's 1533-position model. The record is from RNAcentral.
CCUACGGGAGGCAGCAGUGAGGAAUAUUGGUCAAUGGACGAGAGUCUGAACCAGCCAAGUAGCGUGAAGGAUGACUGCCCUAUGGGUUGUAAACUUCUUUUAUAUGGGAAUAAAAUGUUCCACGUGUGGGAUUUUGUAUGUACCAUAUGAAUAAGGAUCGGCUAACUCCGUGCCAGCAGCCGCGGUAAUACGUAGGAUCCGAGCGUUAUCCGGAUUUAUUUGGGUUAAAGGGAGCGGAGUGGGAUUGUUAAGUCAGUUGUGAAAGUUUGCGGCUCAACCGUAAAAUUGCAGUUGAAACUGGCAGUCUUGAGUACAGGAGAGGUGGGCGGAAUUCGUGGUGUAGCGGUGAAAUGCUUAGAUAUCACGAAGAACGCCGAGUGCGAAGGCAGCUCACUGGACUGCAACUGACACUGAGGCUCGAAAGUGUGGGUAUCAAACAGGAUUAGAUACCCGGGUAGUC